GAUGAACGCUGGCGGCGUGCCUAAUACAUGCAAGUCGAGCGAAUGGAUUAAGAGCUUGCUCUUAUGAAGUUAGCGGCGGACGGGUGAGUAACACGUGGGUAACCUGCCCAUAAGACUGGGAUAACUCCGGGAAACCGGGGCUAAUACCGGAUAACAUUUUGAACUGCAUGGUUCGAAAUUGAAAGGCGGCUUCGGCUGUCACUUAUGGAUGGACCCGCGUCGCAUUAGCUAGUUGGUGAGGUAACGGCUCACCAAGGCAACGAUGCGUAGCCGACCUGAGAGGGUGAUCGGCCACACUGGGACUGAGACACGGCCCAGACUCCUACGGGAGGCAGCAGUAGGGAAUCUUCCGCAAUGGACGAAAGUCUGACGGAGCAACGCCGCGUGAGUGAUGAAGGCUUUCGGGUCGUAAAACUCUGUUGUUAGGGAAGAACAAGUGCUAGUUGAAUAAGCUGGCACCUUGACGGUACCUAACCAGAAAGCCACGGCUAACUACGUGCCAGCAGCCGCGGUAAUAC
RNAcentral lists this ribosomal RNA (518 nucleotides) under uncultured marine bacterium. RNAcentral describes it as "bacterial SSU rRNA". It matches the Rfam family "Bacterial small subunit ribosomal RNA", at positions 28 to 526 of the family's 1533-position model. The record is from RNAcentral.